GGGGCUCGAACUCGUGAACCAUGAGAUCAUGACCUGAGCUGAAGUCAGACACUUAACCGACUGAGCCACCCAGGCGCCCCCCUUAUGAUUUUCUUAACAAUAUUUUCUUUUCUCUAACUUACUUUAUUGUAAGAAUAUGGCAUAUGAUCUUAGGGUCGUGGGAUUGAGCCCCAUGUUGGAGCCCAGCAUGGAGCCUGCUUAAGAUUCUCUCUCUUUUUGCCCUUCUCCUCGGCUUGUGUGUGCAAGCUCUCUCCCUCUAAAUUAAAAAAUAAAAAAUAAAUUAAAAACAUUUAAGAAUACAGCAUAUGAUACAUAUAACAUACAAAAUAUGUGUUAACUAUUUAUGUUAUUGGUAAGGCUUCUGGCCAACAGGCUAUUAGUGGGUAAGUUUUUUGGGAGUAAAGUUAUAUGUGGAAUUGUGAGUGUGUGAGGGGUCAGUGACUCUAGCGCUGGUAUGGUUCAAGCACUGUACUGAUUAAAAAAAAAACAAUUUUUUAUUGUGGUAAAGAUACAUAACAUAAUACUUAUCAUUUUAACCAUUUGUAAGUGUACAAUUCGGUGGCACUAAAUAUAUUCACCAUGUUUUCAAGGUCCAUCUAUGUUGCAACACAUAUAAAAAUUUCAUUUCUUUUUAUGGUUGAAUAUUCCAUUGUGUGUAUAUAGCACAUUUUGUUCAUUCAUUGAACUGUUGAUGGACACUUGGCUAUUGUGCAUAAUGCUUCUAUGAACACUGGUGUACAGAUAACUGUUCAAGUCCCUGGUCUCAACUCUCUGGAUAUAUACCUAAGAAUGGAAUUGUUGUAGCAUAUGGUGGUUCUGCUUACUUUUUUGAGAAAUAAAACUGUUUAUCAAAC
This is a long non-coding RNA of Neofelis nebulosa (Clouded leopard), 854 nucleotides long. RefSeq lists it as uncharacterized. Lineage: Eukaryota; Metazoa; Chordata; Mammalia; Carnivora; Felidae. The transcript has 2 exons. The record is from RefSeq and is a predicted model, not a curated record.